AUAAUCAAUUGUUUUUUAAUUGGAAACUGGAAUGAAAGAGUGGAUGAAAUAUAAGUUGUCUCAAAAUAAUAAUAUUGAAUUUAAAUUAUGAGUAAAAAUGCUUUUAUGAAUUUAUUAGACGAGAAGACCCUAUAGAAUUUAAUAAAAUUUAUUUAUUAAUGAUUUUUUAUUUUAUAUAGGUUAAUAAAUAUUUAUAUUUUAUUGGGAGGAUAUUUAAAUUAAUUAAACUUUAAGGAUUAAAUAACAUAGAUUAAUGAAUUAAUGAUUAUUAUUAUAAUUAAUAGAAUAAAUUACCUUA
This 298-nucleotide ribosomal RNA is filed under the name Dolichovespula maculata (bald-faced hornet). Its description in RNAcentral is "partial 16S ribosomal RNA". Lineage: Eukaryota; Metazoa; Arthropoda; Insecta; Hymenoptera; Vespidae. The record is from RNAcentral.